AUAAAAAUUAGUUAAUAAAUAAUAUUAGCUUGUCAAGCUAAAGUAAUCUCCCAGAUAUUUUUA
RNAcentral lists this transfer RNA (63 nucleotides) under Cherax glaber. Its description in RNAcentral is "tRNA-Asp". Lineage: Eukaryota; Metazoa; Arthropoda; Malacostraca; Decapoda; Parastacidae. The record is from RNAcentral.